GGCGGACGGGUGAGUAACACGUAGGAAUCUGCCCAACAGAGGGGGACAACCCGGAGAAAUCCGGGCUAAUACCGCAUACGCCCUACGGGGGAAAGCGGGGGAUCUUCGGACCUCGCGCUGUUGGAGGAGCCUGCGUCGGAUUAGUUUGUUGGUGAGGUAACGGCUCACCAAGGCGACGAUCCGUAGCUGGUCUGAGAGGAUGAUCAGCCACACUGGGACUGAGACACGGCCCAGACUCCUACGGGAGGCAGCAGUGGGGAAUAUUGCACAAUGGGCGAAAGCCUGAUGCAGCCAUACCGCGUGUGUGAAGAAGGCCCUCGGGUUGUAAAGCACUUUCGUCAGGGAAGAAAGGUGCGGGGUUAAUAUCCCCGUACUGUGACGGUACCUGAAUAAGAAGCACCGGCUAACUCCGUGCCAGCAGCCGCGGUAAUACGGAGGG
Molecule: ribosomal RNA, 439 nt
Filed under: uncultured Gammaproteobacteria bacterium
Lineage: Bacteria; Pseudomonadati; Pseudomonadota; Gammaproteobacteria
Description: bacterial SSU rRNA
Rfam family: Bacterial small subunit ribosomal RNA
Source: RNAcentral